ACAGAGGUGGCAAGCGUUGUUCGGAAUUACUGGGCGUAAAGGGCGCGUAGGCGGCCUUGUCAGUCAGACGUGAAAUCCCCAGGCUUAACCUGGGAACUGCGUGUGAUACUGGAUGGCUUGAAUUCGGGAGAGGGAUGCAGAAUUCCAGGUGUAGCGGUGAAAUGCGUAGAUAUCUGGAGGAAUACCGGUGGCGAAGGCGGCAUCCUGGACCGACGUUGACGCUGAUGAGCGAAAGCUAGGGGAGCAAACGGGA
RNAcentral lists this ribosomal RNA (253 nucleotides) under uncultured prokaryote. Its description in RNAcentral is "partial 16S ribosomal RNA". It matches the Rfam family "Bacterial small subunit ribosomal RNA", at positions 525 to 777 of the family's 1533-position model. The record is from RNAcentral.